This 253-nucleotide ribosomal RNA is filed under the name uncultured bacterium. RNAcentral describes it as "partial 16S ribosomal RNA". It matches the Rfam family "Bacterial small subunit ribosomal RNA", at positions 524 to 776 of the family's 1533-position model. The record is from RNAcentral.
UACGUAGGGUGCGAGCGUUGUCCGGAAUUACUGGGCGUAAAGAGCUCGUAGGUGGUUUGUCGCGUUGUCCGUGAAAACUCACAACUCAAUUGUGGGCGUGCGGGCGAUACGGGCAGACUGGAGUACUGCAGGGGAGACUGGAAUUCCUGGUGUAGCGGUGGAAUGCGCAGAUAUCAGGAAGAACACCAAUGGCGAAAGCAGCUCUCUGGGACGGUACUGACGCUGAGACGCGAAAGCGUGGGGAGCGAACAGG